RNAcentral lists this ribosomal RNA (253 nucleotides) under uncultured bacterium. RNAcentral's name for it is "partial 16S ribosomal RNA". It matches the Rfam family "Bacterial small subunit ribosomal RNA", at positions 524 to 776 of the family's 1533-position model. The record is from RNAcentral.
UACGGAGGGGGCUAGCGUUGUUCGGAAUUACUGGGCGUAAAGCGCACGUAGGCGGAUCAGUUAGUCGGGGGUGAAAUCCCGGGGCUCAACCCCGGAACCGCCUUCGAUACUGCUGGUCUGGAGUCCGAGAGAGGUGAGUGGAAUUCCGAGUGUAGAGGUGAAAUUCGUAGAUAUUCGGAGGAACACCAGUGGCGAAGGCGGCUCACUGGCUCGGUACUGACGCUGAGGUGCGAAAGCGUGGGGAGCAAACAGG